AGAGUUUGAUCCUGGCUCAGGACGAACGCUGGCGGCACGCUUAACACAUGCAAGUCGAACGAGAGAAGAGGAGCUUGCUUUUCUGAUCUAGUGGCGGACGGGUGAGUAACACGUGAGCAAUCUGCCUUUCAGAGGGGGAUACCGAUUGGAAACGAUCGUUAAUACCGCAUAACAUAAUUGAACCGCAUGAUUUGAUUAUCAAAGAUCUAUCGCUGAAAGAUGAGUUCGCGUCUGAUUAGCUAGUUGGUAAGGUAACGGCUUACCAAGGCGACGAUCAGUAGCCGGACUGAGAGGUUGAUCGGCCACAUUGGGACUGAGACACGGCCCAGACUCCUACGGGAGGCAGCAGUGGGGAAUAUUGCACAAUGGAGGAAACUCUGAUGCAGCGAUGCCGCGUGAGGGAAGAAGGUUUUAGGACUGUAAACCUCUGUCUUCAGGGACGAAAAAAGACGGUACCUGAGGAGGAAGCUCCGGCUAACUACGUGCCAGCAGCCGCGGUAAUACGUAGGGAGCGAGCGUUGUCCGGAAUUACUGGGUGUAAAGGGAGCGUAGGCGGGAUCGCAAGUCAGAUGUGAAAACUAUGGGCUUAACCCAUAAACUGCAUUUGAAACUGUGGUUCUUGAGUGAAGUAGAGGUAAGCGGAAUUCCUAGUGUAGCGGUGAAAUGCGUAGAUAUUAGGAGGAACAUCAGUGGCGAAGGCGGCUUACUGGGCUUUAACUGACGCUGAGGCUCGAAAGCGUGGGGAGCAAACAGGAUUAGAUACCCUGGUAGUCCACGCCGUAAACGAUGAUUACUAGGUGUGGGGGGACUGACCCCUUCCGUGCCGCAGCAAACGCAACAAGUAAUCCACCUGGGGAGUACGACCGCAAGGUUGAAACUCAAAGGAAUUGACGGGGGCCCGCACAAGCAGUGGAGUAUGUGGAUUAAUUCGAAGCAACGCGAAGAACCUUACCAGGUCUUGACAUCGUAUGCAUAGCUCAGAGAUGAGUGAAAUCUCUUCGGAGACAUAUAGACAGGUGGUGCAUGGUUGUCGUCAGCUCGUGUCGUGAGAUGUUGGGUUAAGUCCCGCAACGAGCGCAACCCUUACUGUUAGUUGCUACGCAAGAGCACUCUAGCAGGACUGCCGUUGACAAAACGGAGGAAGGUGGGGAUGACGUCAAAUCAUCAUGCCCCUUAUGACCUGGGCCUCACACGUACUACAAUGGCUGUCAACAGAGGGAAGCAAAGCCGCGAGGUGGAGCGAACCCCUAAAAGCAGUCUUAGUUCGGAUUGUAGGCUGCAACCCGCCUACAUGAAGUCGGAAUUGCUAGUAAUCGCAGAUCAGCAUGCUGCGGUGAAUACGUUCCCGGGCCUUGUACACACCGCCCGUCACGCCAUGGGAGUCGGUAACACCCGAAGCCUGUAGUCUAACCGCAAGGAGGACGCAGUCGAAGGUGGGAUUGAUGACUGGGGUGAAGUCGUAACAAGGUA
RNAcentral lists this ribosomal RNA (1470 nucleotides) under metagenome. RNAcentral describes it as "bacterial SSU rRNA". It matches the Rfam family "Bacterial small subunit ribosomal RNA". The record is from RNAcentral.